RNAcentral lists this ribosomal RNA (1483 nucleotides) under uncultured bacterium. RNAcentral describes it as "bacterial SSU rRNA". It matches the Rfam family "Bacterial small subunit ribosomal RNA". The record is from RNAcentral.
GAUGAACGCUGGCUGGCUGUGCCUAACACAUGCAAGUCGAGCGGGAAAUCUUUUGUGGAAGCUUCGGCAGAAAGAGAAGAUGGAUAGCGGCGGACGGGUGAGUAACGCGUAGUGCAACCUGCCCUUCACAGAGGGAUAGCCACUGGAAACGGUGAUUAAUACCUCAUAAUGCGAGAAGGCCACAUGGUCAUUUCGCCAAAGAUUGAUCGGUGAGGGAUGGGCCUGCGUCUGAUUAGUUAGUUGGUGGGGUAACGGCCUACCAAGGCGACGAUCAGUAGCCGACCUGAGAGGGUAAUCGGCCACAUUGGAACUGAGACACGGUCCAAACUCCUACGGGAGUGCAGCAGUGGGGAAUAUUGCACAAUGGGCGCAAGCCUGAUGCAGCAACGCCGCGUGAACGAAGAAGGUCUUCGGAUUGUAAAGUUCUGUCCUUAGGGAAGAACGGAGUGACGGUACCUAAGGAGGAAGCCCCGGCUAACUACGUGCCAGCAUGCCGCGGUAAUACGUAGGGGGCAAGCGUUAUCCGGAAUGAUUGGGCGUAAAGAGUACGUAAGUGGAUACGUAAGCGCGAGGUGAAAAGGCAAGUUGGCUUAACCAUUUGUAAGGCCUUGGAACUGCGAAGACUUGAUGUGCAUGGGAGGGAAAGCGGAAUUCCUAGUGUAGCGGUGAAAUGCUUAGAUAUUAGGAGGAACACCAGUGGCGAAGGCGGCUUUCUGGACUGUAACUGACACUGAGGUACGAAAGCGUGGGGAGCAAACAGGAUUAGAUACCCUGGAUAGUCCACGCCGUAAACGAUCGAGCACUAGGUGUCGGGGUCUUUAGACUUCGGUGCCGGAGUUAACGCAUUAAGUGCUCCGCCUGGGGAGUACGCACGCAAGUGUGAAACUCAAACGGAAUUCGACGGGGACCCGCAGACAAGCAGCGGAGCAUGUGGUCUUAAUUCGAAGCAACGCGAAGAACCUUACCAGGACUUGACAUCCCCCUGAACGUCCCGUAAUGGGGACUUCUCUUCGGAGCAGGGGAGACAGGUGGUGCAUGGUUGUCGUCAGCUCGUGUCGUGAGACUGUAGGGUUAAGUCCCGCAACGAGCGCAAACCCUUGUCAUUAGUUGCCAGCAAGUAAGGUUGGGCACUCUAAUGAGACUGCCGGGGACAACUCGGAGGAAGGUGGGGAUGACGUCAAAUCAUCAUGCCCCUUAUGUUCUGGGCUACACACGUGCUACAAUGGCCGGUACAGAGAGAAGCAAGACUGUGAAGAGGAGCCAAACUCAAAAACCGGUCCCAGUUCGGAUUGUAGGCUGCAACUCGCCUACAUGAAGUCGGAGUUGCUAGUAAUCGCGGAUCAGAAUGCCGCGGUGAAUGCGUUCCCGGGUCUUGUACACACCGCCCGUCACACCAUGGAAGUUGGGGGCGCCCGAAGUUGGUCGGGAAAUAGAUUACCUAAGGCGAAACCAAUGACUGGGGUGAAGUCGUAACAAGGUAGCC